RNAcentral lists this long non-coding RNA (3299 nucleotides) under Populus tremula. RNAcentral's name for it is "long non-coding RNA (PTRE_LNC000079)". Lineage: Eukaryota; Viridiplantae; Streptophyta; Magnoliopsida; Malpighiales; Salicaceae. The record is from RNAcentral.
AGAAUUAAGGUUUGGAUCCGAGAAUUUAAUUUAUUUCAAACAUAGUGUCUCAUCAUUUUUAUAUAAAUUAAAUAACUAAACCAUCAUAGUUACCAGAAACUGAUCAAUCCAAUAAAUUAUUGGACAACCUUUUUAAUCAAAGUUCUAUUUAGAUAAAGUUUGAUUUAAAAAUGAUUUGGAAGUAAAUCCUAUCAAACCAUGUUAAAUUAAUUACUUCAAAUUUGAUUUGAGUUGAGUUUUAUUUUAAACUGAUUUAAAUAUUGGUUUAAAUAUUGAUGUGGGCGUGCUAGAAAAAACAUGGUUAAGUAUUUUUUAAUUUUUUUUUAUCUAAAAUGAUAUUAUUUGGAUUGAAACUGUAAAUUUAUUAUUUUAACAUGUAAGAUUCAGUUAUGAACUUAUCCAAGUAAGUUGUCGUACGUGUAGACGUGUUACUGAGCUGUCGACUUUAUUUUUUUUCUUACCUCUCCCGUGAGUCGUUUGUUUUAUGUUGUUUUGGCAGAUUAGAGAAGUUAGACCGAAGGUGACGCUAGUGGUUAGAAUGGCAGCAUCGGUUGCGAACUAUGAUUAUAUAGUUGAUUGGGAGUUCCAAACUGAUGGACUAAUCAGAAUCAAGGUUAGUGGCCACUUUCAAUGUCUUUCUUUCCUGGGAUGAGGACAUCCUAUUUCCUGUUCUUUGAAAUAAUAUUGUAAACACAAGUAGUCCACUUUAGAAUUUUCAACAUAUAUUAGGGAUAAACAUCUUUCAGUGGUCGGAGUUUUUCUUGAUCAUCAUGCCUACCACUAGUUGGAGGAUGUCACGUUUGAACUUCUAUUUGCCAUUAUGCAAUCAUAACAACUGCUAAGUAUGUAAUUGGGCACAGGUUGGACUCAGUGGUAUUUUGAUGGUGAAAGGCACCUCUUACGUGAACACGAACCAAGUUCCGGGUCAACAAAAUCUCUAUGGCACACUUUUGUCAGAAAACGUAAUCGGCGUUAUACAUGACCACUACGUCACAUUUUACCUUGACAUGGACAUAGAUGGCUCUGAUAAUUCCUUUGUUAAUGUAAACAUUCAAAAGCAACGGACCUCUCCCGGAGAAUCACCGCGGAGGAGCUACUUAAAAGCUAUAAGAAAUGUGGCAAAGACAGAAAAGGAUGCACAGAUUCAGCUCAAACUUUAUGACCCAUCCGAGUUCCAUGUGGUUAACCCGAUGAAAAGGACUCGGGUUGGAAACCCCGUUGGGUACAAGCUGGUUCCCGGUGCCACGGCUGCUAGCUUGCUAGAUCAUGACGAUCCUCCCCAAAAACGUGGUGCCUUUACAAAUAACCAGAUAUGGGUCACUCCAUAUAACCAGAGCGAGCAAUGGGCUGGUGGGUUAUUUGUUUACCAGAGUCAAGGUGAAGACACUCUUGCAGUGUGGUCUGAGAGGUAUGGAUUUCCACUCAAAUAAAAAAUCAAAAUAUUACUCUCGCAAUUAACUUUUGUCAUCCUUGGAAAUCUCCAGUUUUCCAACAUUUCCACUUGAAUCGAUUUUCUAAUUGAAUCAAGGAAAAAAAAUGUCAUGGGCUUGAAUCUUAAUUGGAGCAAGUCAUUUCGCCUUCGCCUUGAGGGAAUUUGAUCUCGAAUGUUAUGUGGGCUCGAGUCCCAGGCUCGUUAAUGUAAAGUUUUUUUUUUUUUUUUAAAUUUACUACUCAAUUCAUAACCAGAACGCAUUGAAUCCUUUUAUAAUAUCUCGUGACAGAACUAAUCUGAUUAAAUAUUUCAAUUUCUAACAACUUGUGGAUUUCUUUUUUCAGGGAUCGUCCAAUUGAGAACAAGGACAUUGUAUUGUGGUACACAUUAGGCUUCCAUCACGUACCGUGCCAAGAGGACUUCCCUAUAAUGCCAACCGUAUCAUCGAGUUUUGAUCUGAAGCCCGUCAAUUUCUUUGAGAGCAACCCAAUUCUUCGGAUCCCACCUAACGUUGAAAAAGAUUUGCCUGUUUGCAAGCCUGCUGCUUCAGCUUGAACAGCCAAUUGUAGCUCUUCCAUCUGCAUAUAUAUGCAGUAGCAGAGUAAAAACCUGGAGAUCAAUAAUGUAGAUGAAUGCUUCAGAAAAACACGAAAAAAAAAAGCAGAAAAAAAGAGAGACGGCGAUGGAUUAAUCACUGUUUUAUGACCACUUUAUGGCUACGAUCGAGGCCAGGUCAGAUGGUAUUGCACAAAACACUAAGCAUUUCUGUGUAGCAAUUUUAAUGUGCACUCUUUUAUGAAUCAACGUGGAUUAAAAUAGUUAGAUUUUUCUUAAAAUUUCAAUUCGAUUAUCAAGAAUUUUUUUUGGAAAAUGAAUUCAUUUUGGAAAAUGAAUUCCGGGGAAAGUGAAUUCCGAGAAAGUAUUUUUCGAUGUUUGGUAGUGUUAUAGAAAACACUUUCUAGUGUUUGGUUGUGUUAUGAAAAAUGAAUUGGAAAAUAAUUUAUUAAUAAAUUAAUUUUUUUUCAAAUUUAUCUAAUAUAUAUAAAAUAUUUAAUCACUUACAAUAAAAAAAAUAAAAUGUAUAAUGAUGAAUUUUUUUUAUAUUAUAUUCUAUAUUCAUACAUAGCUUAUUUUAUAAAAUAUAACUAUAUAUAUCAUAUUAUAAAGAAAUAAGCUUGUGAAAUAUUUUUUACUAUUCUAUGAAACCAUUUAUAAUUUCAUUACGUACGAAAUACAUCCGACAAAAAUUAUAGUUUUAAUAAUAUUUUUAGCAUGUAAUAAAAUUGGAUAAAAUAUUAAGGUAUAAAAUUCACUCUCAACUAUUUUUUUUUAAUGCUAAAAAAAUAGCACACUUAUAUUUAAUAAUAAUAAUAAAAAAAACGGAACAGUGCACUAAAACUGCAUUGUUCACUCUUUUUUAGUGAACAAUGUAUGCAAUACACUAUUCAUGUUAAUUGCACUGUUUCAUGAACAGUGCAAUUAACAUGAACAGUUACAGAAAAACACGCAGCAUUGGCUCAGGAAAGUGUUUUUCGAGAAUUAAAAACGGAAAACACUUUCCUUAUGUUAAACUUAACAUUUUCCUUUGACUGGAAUUACAUUUUCUUUGACUCACUUUCCAUGUAUUACCAAACAUGGGAAAGUGAGGAAAAUGGUUUCCAGAAAAGUGAAUUUCUAGAAACAAACAAGGCCUAACUAACUAAACCAUUAUAGUUAUCAGAAACUGAUCAAUCCAAUAAAUUAUUGGAUAACCUUUUUAAUCAAAGUUCUAUUUAGAUAAAGUUUGAUUUAAAAAUGAUUUGGAAGUAAAUCCUAUCAAACCAUGUUAAAUUAAUUACUUGAAAUUUAAUUUGAGUUGAGUUUUAUU